UUUGUUCCUGGCUCAGGACGAACGCUGGCGGCGUGCCUAAUACAUGCAAGUCGAACGAACUCUGGUAUUGAUUGGUGCUUGCAUCAUGAUUUACAUUUGAGUGAGUGGCGAACUGGUGAGUAACACGUGGGAAACCUGCCCAGAAGCGGGGGAUAACACCUGGAAACAGAUGCUAAUACCGCAUAACAACUUGGACCGCAUGGUCCGAGUUUGAAAGAUGGUUCGGCUAUCACUUUUGGAUGGUCCCGCGGCGUAUUAGCUAGAUGGUGGGGUAACGGCUCACCAUGGCAAUGAUACGUAGCCGACCUGAGAGGGUAAUCGGCCACAUUGGGACUGAGACACGGCCCAAACUCUACGGGAGGCAGCAGUAGGGAAUCUUCCACAAUGGACGAAAGUCUGAUGGAGCAUCGCCGCGUGUAGUGAAGAA
Molecule: ribosomal RNA, 427 nt
Filed under: Lactiplantibacillus plantarum
Lineage: Bacteria; Bacillati; Bacillota; Bacilli; Lactobacillales; Lactobacillaceae
Description: bacterial SSU rRNA
Rfam family: Bacterial small subunit ribosomal RNA
Source: RNAcentral